This 901-nucleotide ribosomal RNA is filed under the name human gut metagenome. RNAcentral describes it as "bacterial SSU rRNA". It matches the Rfam family "Bacterial small subunit ribosomal RNA", at positions 8 to 910 of the family's 1533-position model. The record is from RNAcentral.
AGAGUUUGAUCCUGGCUCAGGAUGAACGCUGGCGGCGUGCCUAAUACAUGCAAGUCGAACGCUUCACUUCGGUGAAGAGUGGCGAACGGGUGAGUAAUACAUAAGUAACCUGGCAUCUACAGGGGGAUAACUGAUGGAAACGUCAGCUAAGACCGCAUAGGUGUAGAGAUCGCAUGAACUCUAUAUGAAAAGUGCUACGGGACUGGUAGAUGAUGGACUUAUGGCGCAUUAGCUUGUUGGUAGGGUAACGGCCUACCAAGGCGACGAUGCGUAGCCGACCUGAGAGGGUGACCGGCCACACUGGGACUGAGACACGGCCCAGACUCCUACGGGAGGCAGCAGUAGGGAAUUUUCGGCAAUGGGGGAAACCCUGACCGAGCAACGCCGCGUGAAGGAAGAAGUAAUUCGUUAUGUAAACUUCUGUCAUAGAGGAAGAACGGUGGAUAUAGGGAAUGAUAUCCAAGUGACGGUACUCUAUAAGAAAGCCACGGCUAACUACGUGCCAGCAGCCGCGGUAAUACGUAGGUGGCGAGCGUUAUCCGGAAUUAUUGGGCGUAAAGAGGGAGCAGGCGGCACUAAGGGUCUGUGGUGAAAGAUCGAAGCUUAACUUCGGUAAGCCAUGGAAACCGUAGAGCUAGAGUGUGUGAGAGGAUCGUGGAAUUCCAUGUGUAGCGGUGAAAUGCGUAGAUAUAUGGAGGAACACCAGUGGCGAAGGCGACGAUCUGGCGCAUAACUGACGCUCAGUCCCGAAAGCGUGGGGAGCAAAUAGGAUUAGAUACCCUAGUAGUCCACGCCGUAAACGAUGAGUACUAAGUGUUGGGUGUCAAAGCUCAGUGCUGCAGUUAACGCAAUAAGUACUCCGCCUGAGUAGUACGUUCGCAAGAAUGAAACUCAAAGGAAU